RNAcentral lists this small nucleolar RNA (136 nucleotides) under Moschus moschiferus (Siberian musk deer). RNAcentral's name for it is "Small nucleolar RNA SNORA70 (ENSMMSG00000020819.1)". It matches the Rfam family "Small nucleolar RNA SNORA70". From Rfam's summary of the family: snoRNA U70 seems to be exclusive to mammals and is a member of the H/ACA class of snoRNA which contain H (ANANNA) and ACA box motifs. H/ACA box snoRNAs are involved in the conversion of uridines to pseudouridines (5-ribosyluracil) a constituent of structural RNAs (transfer, ribosomal, small nuclear, and small nucleolar). Lineage: Eukaryota; Metazoa; Chordata; Mammalia; Artiodactyla; Moschidae. The record is from Rfam by way of RNAcentral.
UUGUAGCCAGUUAAGCCGACUGUGCUCCAUUCCCUGUGGGGGCCCAGUGUCCAAUGGCUGCAAAUAGUAGCCUCCUUGGUCCACAUAUGCAACCUGUUCCCCGUACAGGUUGCCCUAAGCAACCUUGUAUACAACU